GGAGUCUGGGCCGUGUCUCAGUCCCAAUGUGGCCGUUCAUCCUCUCAGACCGGCUACUGAUCGUUGGCCAGGUGGGCCGUUACCCCGCCUGCAACCUAAUCAGACGCAUCCCCAUCCCAUAGCGAUGAAUCUUUGCUUGACGUUAGAUGUCUGCUGUCAAGAACAUAGGGAAUUAAUCCGACUUUCGCCGGGCUGUGCCCUACUACGGGGAA
RNAcentral lists this ribosomal RNA (212 nucleotides) under uncultured Prevotella sp. RNAcentral describes it as "partial 16S ribosomal RNA". Lineage: Bacteria; Pseudomonadati; Bacteroidota; Bacteroidia; Bacteroidales; Prevotellaceae. The record is from RNAcentral.